UAAUACGAAGGGGGCUAGCGUUGUUCGGAAUUACUGGGCGUAAAGGGCGCGUAGGCGGUACUUCAAGUCAGGCGUGAAAGCCCCGGGCUCAACCUGGGAACCGCGCUUGAGACUGGAGAACUAGAGUUCGGGAGAGGAUGGUGGAAUUCCCAGUGUAGAGGUGAAAUUCGUAGAUAUUGGGAAGAACACCGAUGGCGAAGGCAGCCAUCUGGACCGACACUGACGCUGAGGCGCGAAAGCGUGGGGAGCAAACAGGAUUAGAUACCCUGGUAGUCCACGCCGUAAACGAUGAGUGCUAGACGUUGGGGCCCUUAGGGCUUCGGUGUCGCAGCUAACGCAUUAAGCACUCCGCCUGGGGAGUACGGCCGCAAGGUUA
RNAcentral lists this ribosomal RNA (376 nucleotides) under uncultured bacterium. RNAcentral's name for it is "bacterial SSU rRNA". It matches the Rfam family "Bacterial small subunit ribosomal RNA", at positions 521 to 896 of the family's 1533-position model. The record is from RNAcentral.